AGAAAUUAGAGAGAGAGAGAGAACUAGAGAAAGAGGGGUGGCCGGUGGCGGCAUUUGGCGGCGAUUUGCGGUGGCCGGUGGUGGCCGGAGGUGGUUGGACUUGUGAGAUUCAACCUGGAACCAAUUAUUGAUGCUACGAACACAAUGAAUGAAAGGGUUGGAAUCACAUUAGCACGGACUCAAAUGCGGAAGGCUACGGGUCAAGAAGAUGCAAGGAAACAAACACGAAUACAGACGCUUGAGGUUACACAGAUCAUUACCAUUCAUCACGAAGGAUAAGGGGGCAAAGAUCGAGUUAUAGAACAUGGAUUGUAUGGAAGGGUGGUCACUUAGUUUGUAUUCGCAUGUUAAAUUUGGUACAUUAAUUAAAGAUGAAUGAUGUAAUUCUUUUAAAGGAAUCGUUUUAAAUGGUUUUCAAGUAUGUUAGAUUAUUAAAAAAAGAAAGAAAUUUUGAAGUUCA
Long non-coding RNA from Helianthus annuus (common sunflower), 460 nucleotides. RefSeq lists it as uncharacterized. The transcript has 3 exons. The record is from RefSeq and is a predicted model, not a curated record. Lineage: Eukaryota; Viridiplantae; Streptophyta; Magnoliopsida; Asterales; Asteraceae.